RNAcentral lists this ribosomal RNA (322 nucleotides) under uncultured Chloroflexota bacterium. RNAcentral describes it as "bacterial SSU rRNA". It matches the Rfam family "Bacterial small subunit ribosomal RNA", at positions 28 to 351 of the family's 1533-position model. The record is from RNAcentral. Lineage: Bacteria; Bacillati; Chloroflexota.
GAUGAACGCUGGCGGCGUGCUUAAUACAUGCAAGUCGAACGGAGAUAGUAGCAAUAUUAUCUUAGUGGCGAACGGGUGAGUAACGCGUUGGUGACCUGCCCCGAAGAGAGGGAUAGCAGUUCGAAAGGACUGAUAAUACCUCAUGUGGUUGAAGGUUUUAGAAUCCUUCAACUAAACGGAUUUAUUCGCUUCGGGAGGGGCCUGCGUCCCAUCAGCUAGUUGGUAGGGUAAUGGCCUACCAAGGCGAUGACGGGUAGGGGACCUGAGAGGGUGGCCCCCCACAAUGGAACUGAAACACGGUCCAUACACCUACGGGUGGCUG